This 274-nucleotide ribosomal RNA is filed under the name uncultured prokaryote. Its description in RNAcentral is "partial 16S ribosomal RNA". It matches the Rfam family "Bacterial small subunit ribosomal RNA", at positions 524 to 798 of the family's 1533-position model. The record is from RNAcentral.
UACGAAGGGUGCAAGCGUUAAUCGGAAUUACUGGGCGUAAAGCGCGCGUAGGUGGUUCGUUAAGUUAGGAGUGAAAGCCCCGGGCUCAACCUGGGAAUUGCUUCUAAAACUGGCGAGCUAGAGUAUGGUAGAGGUGGUGGAAUUUCCUGUGUAGCGGUGAAAUGCGUAGAUAUAGGAAGGAACAUCAGUGGCGAAGGCGACCACCUGGACUGAUACUGACACUGAGGCACGAAAGCGUGGGGAGCAAACAGGAUUAGAUACCCGUGUAGUUCCU